UCAGACGAUGCGUCAUGCAUAUCAAUAAGCGGAGGAAAAGAAACUAACAAGGAUUCCCUUAGUAACGGCGAGUGAAGCGGGAAGAGCUCAAAUUUGAAAUCUUCAAGGUUUUACCUUGACGAAUUGUAGUUUAAAGAAGUGUUUUCUGCUGAAGUUUUGGUAAAAGUUCUUUGGAAUAGGACAUCAUAGAGGGUGAGAAUCCCGUAUUUGACCAUUAUUUUCAGCUUUGUGAUACACUUUCAAAGAGUCGGAUUGUUUGGGAAUGCGGUCCAAAAUGGGUGGUAAAUUUCAUCUAAAGCUAAAUAUUGGCGAGAGACCGAUAGCGAACAAGUACCGUGAGGGAAAGAUGAAAAGAGUUUUGAAAAGAGAGUUAAACAGUACGUGAAAUUGUCAAAAGGGAAGCGUUUGACACCAGUGUUGUUUUCUCGAAAAUCAAUUAAAAAUGGCUCGAUUUUGUAUUGCUUGAGACCUUAAAAGCUCACUGUACAUUUUUCGUGUCUUUUUUAAUGCACUUUUCGUUUAACAAGUCAACAUCAGUUUCUUUUGUUGUAAAAGGGUCAUUGGAAGGUGGCUUUCUUUUCGGAGAAAGUGUUUAUAGCCUUUGGCCUCUGCAAUCGGAGAGACUGAGGUCUGCAGCGUAGACUCUUCGGGGUUAGAUACAUUUGUGCUAAGUUAUAGCUUUUUAUAGACAACUUGUUGACUAUAAUUAGUCUUGUAGCUUACUCGCUUAUGCUAUUUUACCUACGCUUAGGAUGUUGAACUACUGAGACAUAGA
This 775-nucleotide ribosomal RNA is filed under the name uncultured Neocallimastigales. RNAcentral's name for it is "partial large subunit ribosomal RNA". It matches the Rfam family "Eukaryotic large subunit ribosomal RNA", at positions 18 to 635 of the family's 3401-position model. Lineage: Eukaryota; Fungi; Neocallimastigomycota; Neocallimastigomycetes; Neocallimastigales. The record is from RNAcentral.